UGUGGGGUUUUUUUUAGUCUUUUUUUUUCCCUAUUCAAGAAUACAACUUAGAAGUUAUAUUUUAUUUGGAGAAGUACUUACAGAAAAACAUCAAAGAGGUGCGUAAUAAUCCAGCUUGCCAGUUGAACCUAAACAGAUUCUCUGAGUCCUUGGUGAUAUAUACAGUACCCUUUCGGACACUCCCCCUGUUAGCCUUCUAAGAGUCAUCCUUUGAGUUACUACCCUUGUCAUUGCCUUUUGAUUCAUUGUGCUUGAAACCACUGAGUAGGCCAACAUCAGACUGGUACUCUAUUUGGAGAAAGCCAAAUUUUAUUUUGUGAAGUAAAACCUAACAGAUGAAUGUAAUUAUUCAGGCUUUUUUUGUAUCUUAUAAAGCUGUACCAAGUUCAAGUCUAGCAUGUCUCGUGCUCCACUUCAGAAUUUAAAUAUUGAUUGAGCCAUAUCGAUAACUAGAGCCAAACGAAUAAUGAAUACACACACAUAAAAAUAAAAAAAAACUCUAAAAAAAAAAAGAAUAAACAUAAUACGCUUCAAAUAAACUUAGCUGUAAAAUCAGAUUUAAAAAAACAAAAAAACAAAAAAACAAACACAUUAAGGGAUUUUCCCAGUCAGAUGAAUCUAAGGAUCCCAAAAUAUUAUGAGAAAAUUAGAUAUGAUUGGAGAACAAGAAGACCCAUCGCCAUUCACCAUUUAAUGAGCAGCUAAAGCUGAGUCAAGAGUAGUCCCAUAUUACCAAGAAGUGCAAGAAAGUCCAUCAAUCCCUGGAAACCAUUCUUCUUUUUAAGACUGUAUCUCCUUUCCAGCUGUUUAGUUUCUUCUCAUCUCUGGGGCACUGUAGUUACAGAAUUUACUGUAGCACUGCUCCCAAGAUGGAUGAAGGGAAAAGUGGGAUAUAUAUGCGACCUCUCACUACAGCAUGCAGAGAAACAUAGGGACACUUCUAGUGAAUGUAGAGAAAAUAAAGCAGUUCCAAGCAGAGCCAGCUGCAGGAUGGUCAUUCUAUUCAGAGGAUUUUGUAAUAGAUUGCUCUCCAUGUAAGAAUAAAAACAAAGCUUUAUGAGUUUUUUAAAGAAUGAAAUCAUACUGAAAAAUGUUUUGGUCUGCCAAACGAGUUUGAGGACUGGAGAAGCUUAUUGUUAGUGCUUGUUAAAAGCUCAGCUCCAUCUGUUUCUGCACCUAGGCAAGACGGAAGCUUUUCAAUGAAAGUCAGACUAUAUCCGAUGUAAGCGAAAGGCUCUACUGCUCAUACAUGAGAGGAGAAAGCACAUUUCAUUGAAAGUUCAGAGCAGAGGCAUUGGGAUGAAUUAUAGAACUCAGUGUGAAUGGGGAAGAGGAAGAGAUUUGGGGAACAGUCUGAAAGUGUUUGCUGCCUUGUGAAGGCAGACCCCAGAGUAUUCAGAUAUUCAGAAAUGAAUGCUGAACAGCCAGUGGAAUUCAAGGGAUGGCUGGUGGUCAGGUUUUGAUUUUCAUUCUUCAUAGGUCAUGGCAACAAGGCCCAUUGUACAUGCACAGGCUAUUCUCAUAGAUCUUCUGUACCUCCUAUUUUACUAUGACAGGUAAAUAAACUACCAAAUCUGUCUGAAGGAACAUUCAUGGUCUGUUAGACAAUCAUAAUGCACAAUAUCAAAUAUAACUCAAUUGUAAAAAGCUAUUACUCUUUAUUGAAUAAUACCCUUGAUGAUCUCUAAAGAAAAAAAUCCAGCUUUUGUAAAGGCCAAGGGAAUGAAUAAUAGAAAUCCCAAAUUUUUGCACAUUAAGACAGACAAUAUGCAGUGGUGGUGGUACCCACUGGUAAAGGUGAAAGGGUGUUCCUUUAUCCCAAGCAGUGUUUUUUGUGUUGCUGAAAUUUAGUCAUGUUUGUAUGUGCAGACCAUGAUAACUGGAGUGGCUUGCAGUUUCUACACUCAGAAUGAGUAUUUUUUUAUCUGUCAAUGUUACAGUAGUCAUGUGGGGGGUAGGAAAAUCUACGGAUAGUAAGCAGCUUUCCUCCUAUCUUGUUUAAUGUUCCUUUUUCAAUAGCUUUUACUUUAUCUUGUCAAAGGGCUUAAGUUUUGUUACAGUGUGUAGUGUCUUCUCUUAUGCUUCCAUUUUCACAUGUUUACAUCAAGGUUUCAGCUACAAGUCAGGUGGGUGCUCAAACAUGCCUUCAAGGCUUCCUUGAAGAACUUUCCUGUGUACCCACAGUCCUUUGUAUGCUUGGUUUCAAUGUCCUUGUCCUCUGUGGGCAUCUAUGGAUCAUGCACCUGUAGAACGCAACCAGCCCUGCACAUAUGGAUAGUAUUUUAAUCUUUUGGAGUAACAUCCAAGAUUUUCUCAAUAAACAUUUUGUUUUACCGUCUCCUCUAGAAGAGGACAUGAAGGUGUUUUUGGUAUCUUCUCUCAUUCAGUAUGUUUGCCUUCUUUGUAUACUCUACCUCUGCAAUAGCACAAUCACCACAACAGUUUUGCACAGGUAAGAUAGUUGAGGCAAUACACCUUCUCCAGAGAGAGGUCUGCCACUACACAGGUCUUGCAUUUUUUCUACACUGAAUGUUAGUGCAAAAAUUGUUGCAGAAGCAGCCUGAGUAUGUUGACCAGAAUGGGCUAUCCAUGCACAGUCCUCUGCACACAAAAUGUGAUUUUGUAAUUUUAGAUAGGGUGUUAGGUCAGGGGAAAUCAGAGGCACCUCUUGAAAUUCAAGAGUCGUGAAUGCAAGCAAGACAAAUUGGUUAAACUCUGUUCCAGAUCUGUGUUUGUCCCAGAAAGAGGUCAGCAAGGACUCUGCUGCCCUUUUCCUCUGUCAUGAAGUCCAUUGUGAAGCUCUUGCUAAACCAAUUCAUGGGAUUUGCCAUUCUUCCUUAAUGUUGGCAUAAUCAAGGACACUGUAAGCAGUAGAAAUGCGGCUCUUUCCAACAUUUAUCUGUUCAGAUUUUCACAUUUCAUUUCCUGUGGUUGCUCAGCAGCUUCUGUGUAUUGCUUGAGGGUGAUGUUUUCUUAUGCCUUGGACCCGUUCAUGCCAUAGCUUGUCCAUCUGCAUCACAUUUAGCAGAGUCUAUUCUGGCAUCUCUCAAAGUCCUUUAAUGAACCAAGGUGUGGUCAGAACAGCCUAAUUUACGGAAUUUUGGAUGCUUAUUGCUCUCAUGUUAUUUGUUGUGCUGGAGAUGAUCAGCUCUGUUGCGCAUACAGUCUUAGGCAGUUGGCAGUGGUUGACUUAGAACCACUUUGAAGUCAACCAGCACCUUGUUAUAAACCACUCAGAUAGUCAGCGUGUCUGGCCCAGAGUAGAAUUAAUGUCUAAGCUGCCCUUCAGAGCUCAUAGUAGAUCGUAUGGCAAUGUGUAUUGUGUUUGCACAGCAACCUGAGGUAAGAGGAGGCCAAGCACAUCUAGCAGUCCGUUACGCACCUUGAUAGCCGGUCAUCUCCAGCAACAACUCAGUUUGAUGUUAUAAAGCCAGCAGUAAACAUUUAAACAUUGUUUAAACGCUUUGUUGUUUUUAACUAAGAAUGCAGCUAGAAAAAAAAAGAUUACAUGAAGAGAAAAUAGAAUUUUUUCUUGCGUUUGUAUUUUGUUCCUGUUUUUGAGGUUACCUAAAUAUCCCUGAAGCAAGUUAAAAAAAUCUAAGAUCAUAAAUGAUUGCUUCUGCUGCAGUAAGCUGAGUGACAGUUGUUUCAGUCACACUUUCUCCUUCAUUCACAUGCUGAAUUCCUUUUCCUGUUAUCAGACUGGAGCUCUUCAAGGUGAUAUUUUACAGUACUUGUCCUUAUCAUACAUACUCUAAAUUUUGCUUUCUUUGAAGAUUUAUCUGAAAAAUGUAUAGGUCUGAUUAUACAAGCUCAUAUAUGCUAGCACUAUUUAUUUCACUGUUUGUUUUGUUUUAAUACAUAUUUGACUCAAACCAGCCAUAUACAAUGGUAAAAAAAAAACACCAAAAAACACACAUGGCUAUUUUUUACAUACUCUGUUCAUCAGAACAAUUCACAGCCUGUGUUUGGUGUUGCCUUCUUUUACCAACUAAUUGAUAUGCAAACUUUGCCUCUGCCAGUAACUCUCCUAAUUCGGGCUGCAUUUCAUCUGAAAUUGCAGCCCUGCAAGACAUAGUCAUAGACUGUCAUGAGUCUUCUUUAUUUAGCAAUCAAAAUUAAAUGUCUCGUACUGUAAUUUACAGUUUUUUUCCUGCAUAUCUCAGCACUUGGGAAAGCUCUUCAAGUCUGCAGUUCUGAAAUAGCAGUAGUAUGUACCCAGCGGUUACUUUCUUCCCAACUGAGAGUAACAGGAAAAGCAGGAUAUCAUCUCAUCUUCCCGGUGGAGCUCUCGGUUCCUGGACUGCCUGUGCCAAGUGCCUCAUGAAGAUGAAGCACCUGCAUUGUAAAUGCAAUGUAAAUCUAUGUGAUCAGAGGAAAGAACACAUAGAGAAGGCAUCAAGGCUGCACAGGAGCUUCAUGGGUGCUGCAGGUGUCCCAUGAGUAUGUUUGGAAAGACAUAUCACGAACCAUCUCCUCCAACAACUGGAGCAAUGCAUUGCGUUGUUCGACACUCCAUCACAGGAAUCUCUAUUCCUGUUGUUGCAGAAGUGGGAUUGAUGUUUGAAGUUGUGGUGCUCAGAACUUCCCCAGGGACUGGAGAGACACAUAUACCUAUAUAAAUACAUCUCAGAUCAUUAAACUUCUACAGAAAGCAGAGCUCAAGGAAGAAAACCAAUUACUCCUCUAUGAUGCUUUGAAGUAGAUCACAUUCACCAGCACCAGAAUGGCGUGUGAGUCAAUCACUCCUGGAGCAAAAAGUUCCUUGAUUUUACCUGGAGAAAAUUUUGGAAAACAGAGCCAUAAGAGAUAUGGCUCCAAGAAGCACCUCCAAAACUCAAAAAAGGGACAACAGUGGUGCAUAUGCUUACUGGAAAGCUGGGGAUCAGUGCCACAGAGGUUACAAGAAUCCGAUAUCCUGGUACCUCUAGAGACUCUCCACCCUGUUCGUUUACUUCCAAAGAGACUUUAUGAAUGAUCUUCGACAAAACCACA
Non-coding RNA from Meleagris gallopavo (turkey), 4995 nucleotides. The record is from RefSeq and is a predicted model, not a curated record. Lineage: Eukaryota; Metazoa; Chordata; Aves; Galliformes; Phasianidae.